RNAcentral lists this transfer RNA (87 nucleotides) under Streptomyces badius. RNAcentral describes it as "tRNA-Arg(ccg)". Lineage: Bacteria; Bacillati; Actinomycetota; Actinomycetes; Kitasatosporales; Streptomycetaceae. The record is from RNAcentral.
GCCGCCCGUAGCAGCCGCAGGGGCGGGUCCUGCCGCUCCGGACGGCAGUUGAUCUCCACCGCCGUUCCGGCCUCGGCGCAGGCGGCG